GGUCUUAGCCCCUAGUCUUGGAUUUCUUUGAGUGAAUGGUCCUUACUGAGCAGCUGUGCAGGGACCAUAGGGCAGUCCCCUGCAUCCCAUGCUGGUUAGAGGACACUCACCUCCCCACGGCCCAGCUGAUCUCUGUAGCUUAUUAGUCACUGUCUCUAUUCACACCUCCGUGGUCUGAUUGCUAGACACUAAUUCCACAAGGCUAGGCAUGAUUAUUGUGAUUUCUCACUCCCAGAAUGAGCCUUGGUCCAUGGGAUGUAGACAUGGACAUAUAUAACUUUUAAAAUCUAGAAAAAUCUAACUGCCCACAUGUGCCAUCAGCGUGGGCAUCAUGGAGAAGGGGCCAGCUGAGGAUCUGGGUUGAGGGGCAGCUAGGGGCUGUUCAAAAGGAUGGUGAAUAAUGAGAAUUUUGCAAGAAGAAUAAAAGAUCCAUGACAUGUUAAAGGCAGCAAUUCAGCAAAAGUUAUCUCUACAGUGGUUUCAUACGUUUUAUAGAGCUUUUUACUCAAUGUAGUGACAUAGGGAAAUGAAUAGCAUUGGUAGACUUACUUUUACCAGUGAAUAGUGUGACAUAUUUCUCAUUUUAUAAAGCCAACCAUCAUCUCCAUAAGUAAAACUUGUUGUUUUCUGCACAGUUGUGUCCCUGCUUGCCCUGAACAAUUUUGGCUCUGUUCCCAGGGCAGCCUGUUCCAGGAACCAAGGACUUUCUGAUUUUUUUUUUUUUUUUUUUUUUUUUUUUGAGGCAAUUUGACAGUGCUGUUGCUGUGGGCUUUCUCUAAGGGCUGACUCUGAGGAAACAAAGCUGCAUUCUCUCAAUCAUUGUCCCUGAACUGAGACCUGGGCCCUGGUUAGCAGCAGCCCAAACAAACGUGAACACAAAUGACUGCAGAGGACUGUCUAAAUCCAACAUUAGUGACCAGCCUUGUCCUCAGCCUGGAGCCCAGAUAUGCUCAGGAAGGUCUCCUUUACGGACCGAUCACUCAAGAAUCAGUUCUGGAUCUGCAGGUACAAGAUAUCAGCCAGAGUGUGCUCUACCACAGCGUCCCAUCCCAUGUCACUCAGGGCGGUAAGUGAUAUCAUUUUGAGGAUACUUGAAGCACAGUCCAAAGUUAAUGAAAACCAUGCAGUUCUUGUCCAGUGUGAUGGCUAGAAAGUAGACACCCUCAAAAGUAUUUUUGUAAGUCACACCUUGAUUGAUACCUUUUUAUAAAAUAUUAUCUCACUACCAGGAGUCUGUUUUAGGUUCUUCUCUGCUUUAGCAACAAUGUCUUUUUCUUCAAAAUACAAAUAAUUCUUGUACUUUAUCAAAGCCUUACGUUCAUAAGUAUUAGGUAUGACUUAGCUGUUUCCGUGUCUUCAGAAAGAGUAGUACAAAAUUUAAGAUGUCUCCCUUCCAUAGCUUGAAAAGUAGUGUUUGCCAAGGGACUGGUAAAACUUGAAUCUUUUUUGCUCUGCAAAGAAUACCUAAAUUUACUUAUUGUUUAAACAAUGUUAUUUAGCCAAGUAAUUAUUCCAAGUGUCUGAAUGGUCAUCAUGCACUCCCCGUAUUUAUCAAUAAAUGGUAUAAUACCCUUAUCUUUAGAGAACA
RNAcentral lists this long non-coding RNA (1588 nucleotides) under Piliocolobus tephrosceles (Ugandan red Colobus). RNAcentral's name for it is "lncRNA (ENSPTEG00000013381.1)". The record is from RNAcentral. Lineage: Eukaryota; Metazoa; Chordata; Mammalia; Primates; Cercopithecidae.